This 484-nucleotide ribosomal RNA is filed under the name uncultured bacterium. RNAcentral describes it as "partial 16S ribosomal RNA". It matches the Rfam family "Bacterial small subunit ribosomal RNA", at positions 28 to 507 of the family's 1533-position model. The record is from RNAcentral.
AUUGAACGCUGGCGGCAUGCUUUACACAUGCAAGUCGAACGGCAGCGCGGGCUUCGGCCUGGCGGCGAGUGGCGAACGGGUGAGUAAUGCAUCGGAACGUGCCCAGUAGUGGGGGAUAGCCCGGCGAAAGCCGGAUUAAUACCGCAUACGACCUGAGGGUGAAAGCGGGGGACCGAAAGGCCUCGCGCUAUUGGAUCGGCCGAUGGCGGAUUAGCUAGUUGGUGGGGUAAAGGCUUACCAAGGCGACGAUCCGUAGCUGGUCUGAGAGGCCGACCAGCCACACUGGGACUGAGACACGGCCCAGACUCCUACGGGAGGCAGCAGUGGGGAAUUUUGGACAAUGGGGGCAAGCCUGAUCCAGCCAUGCCGCGUGCGGGAAGAAGGCCUUCGGGUUGUAAACCGCUUUUGUUCGGGAAGAAAUCCUCUGGGCUAAUACCCCGGGGGGAUGACGGUACCGGAAGAAUAAGCACCGGCUAACUACGUG